UUUACAUGGCCGUAGAGUUCCCAGUUGUACGCAUAUACUGGUAACGCUUCAUGCCAUGUUAGAUCAAACAAUAAGGCCCGAUUUACUACCAAUUUAGCGAUUGAUUCCUGGGUUUUGCAAUGUGAAUGUUCGUUCCGAUUGUGGAACUUAAAUCUGGACUGCUGAUAGUUGCAUACACAC
Molecule: non-coding RNA, 180 nt
Organism: Drosophila virilis
Lineage: Eukaryota; Metazoa; Arthropoda; Insecta; Diptera; Drosophilidae
Source: Rfam